RNAcentral lists this long non-coding RNA (872 nucleotides) under Musa acuminata (dwarf banana). RNAcentral describes it as "long non-coding RNA (MACU_LNC000892)". The record is from RNAcentral. Lineage: Eukaryota; Viridiplantae; Streptophyta; Magnoliopsida; Zingiberales; Musaceae.
AUCGGUAGGCUGACUCUGCGGAGUUAUAGGUGAGGAAGAGGAAAGCAAUGGUGGGAAGCCAAUUGAAGACCCUGGUUUGGCUGCUGGGGCCGCUGCUCUCAGCUUGUUGCGGGGGUGACGCUGGUUGAAUUCCGGGCUUGCAUCCAGACGUCUUUGCCGAUACAGGCAUAUCCAUCGUCCUGAAACACAGGAGAGUAGAUGGAGCAGGAUGAAUGAGAGGACAUAUAUGAAGGCAAUCAACCCGCAAGUUCGCCGAAGUUGCGCCCUCUGAUAAAGUCAACGCAAAGACUUUCACGAAAUUUCGUAGAAAGCGGUUUGCAACCCCCCGGAAAAAUCCAUCAUCUCAAGGCCCAUGGCCUGCACACAUCCGUUCAAUUUCCAGAGAAACGAAUUGACAACGUGUGAGAAUGAAAUCCUAAGAUGAAUCGGCCUCAAUAAACCAUGUUUCAUCCGAUCUUGAUCAAAGCCAUUCAGAAACCAGAGCAGGUUUGGAUAAAAUGAUGGUUCGAUUCAGUCUUUUGUGCUGAUGAGCAAGAAAACCCUAAGGAACGAGGUUUCUUGUGCAAUGGAUGAGAUCACGAAAACCCCAAUCGAUCAUGAAAACCCAAAAAUCGAAUUCUCUUUGGGCUGUCUUAUGAAGAAAACCUCGAAAAGGAGCCCCAGAAGAGAGAUUUCUACAUCACGAGGUGAAAAGAAAGAAGUUACCAUAUCCGAUGGGAAGAAAGGGGGGAACCAAUUCAUACAAAGGCUUCACAAAAUCAAAUCAUGUAGGUUUCCAACGAGGAGGCGAAGGGAGAUUACAAGCCAACCAGGUUUCAUUUCGUAGGGCAUCUUUAGGAACGAGAUAAGGAGACACAGGAAGAAGAACCUGA